UACGUAGGGUGCAAGCGUUAAUCGGAAUUACUGGGCGUAAAGCGUGCGCAGGCGGUCUUGCAAGACAGAUGUGAAAUCCCCGGGCUCAACCUGGGAACUGCAUUUGUGACUGCAAGGCUGGAGUGCGGCAGAGGAGGAUGGAAUUCCGCGUGUAGCAGUGAAAUGCGUAGAUAUGCGGAGGAACACCGAUGGCGAAGGCAAUCCCCUGGGCCUGCACUGACGCUCAUGCACGAAAGCGUGGGGAGCAAACAGG
RNAcentral lists this ribosomal RNA (253 nucleotides) under uncultured bacterium. Its description in RNAcentral is "partial 16S ribosomal RNA". It matches the Rfam family "Bacterial small subunit ribosomal RNA", at positions 524 to 776 of the family's 1533-position model. The record is from RNAcentral.